UUUCAAAAUCAUGAUUUAUACUACAUAAUAUCAUGACUACUUAUCAGCAUGAACAGCUGAAAUCUGGUAACAUUACCUCAGCCCGUACAAAGAGGAACAUUUCAAACUUUGGUCUUGAAGGAAAUUCUUGUAAAAAAAAUGCAAAAAGAUUUAUUUUAGUUUCUUUCAAAAAAAAUAUGAAAUCACCUGAAUGUAUCAGAGGUAUACAAUUCCAAAUGUAUUGAUUUUGCAGUGUGUGUCAGCCUUCUCAGGGGCAGCAUAUGACUGGACACCCACUUUGUAGACUUGAGAAAAAUGACACCGUAGAUCCUGUAGGAAGUAACACAAACUACACUGCCUCAUUCUGUUUUGUGUAAGGAUAUCAGGAAAAACGACAGCAGGAAACCACUCACGUGCUCGUAAUAGGGCGGCAGAUCGAACGUGUGGCACUGCUUCAGGACCUCCCUGUAAGGGUAAGCGUCAUGAGGGGCCGUUCCAAAGGCUCCCUUCCAGUCGUAGGGCAGGAGUGCCAAAGGGCUUGGCGUGAAGAACCCGGGGCGUUCCCAGCCCAGAGAUUCCUCCCAGAAACAGCCAGCUUCUGUGAGCUCCUGCAGAGGAACAGUAAAUGUGAUUUUCGUAUGAAACCCCAAAGCCAAAAGUUCAAAAUAAACUGUCCAAUCAGUCAACGAUUCCAUUGCGAUAAUAUCGGAUAAUCGUCUCCCGAGUGAGAAACAGCAGCAACUCGCUCAUACAAAG
This is a long non-coding RNA of Macrobrachium nipponense, 735 nucleotides long. RefSeq lists it as uncharacterized. The record is from RefSeq and is a predicted model, not a curated record. NCBI's taxonomy places the organism in Eukaryota, Metazoa, Arthropoda, Malacostraca, Decapoda, Palaemonidae. The transcript has 3 exons.